CCAGCAGCCGCGGUAAUUCCAGCUCCAAUAGCGUAUAUUAAAGUUGUUGCAGUUAAAAAGCUCGUAGUUGGAUUUCUGUUUUGGAUGUCCGGUCCGCUUCCUUUGGGAGUGUGUACUUAUGGAUAUUCAAGACAUUUUUUGUGAGGCUGCCUUUCUGCCAUUAAGUUGGUGGGUUGGUGGACUUACAUCGUUUACUGUGAAAAAAUUAGAGUGUUUAAAACAGGCGUUUGCUCAUUUGAAUACAUUAGCAUGGAAUAAUAAGAUACGGCCUUGGUGGUCUAUUUUGUUGGUUUGCACACCAGGUAAUGAUUAAUAGGGACAGUUGGGGGUAUUCAUAUUUCAGC
This 344-nucleotide ribosomal RNA is filed under the name uncultured eukaryote. Its description in RNAcentral is "SSU rRNA". It matches the Rfam family "Eukaryotic small subunit ribosomal RNA", at positions 567 to 903 of the family's 1831-position model. The record is from RNAcentral.